UAGACCAACGUUUUUAUAUAGUGAUGAUAAAUUGAAUUUAAUAUUUGUAAAAAUAAGCAUUUUUAUAAGUUGAAUUAUUUACUUCCAAUAUAAGUCUAAUUAUUUAUUUCCCCCGCCCCUAAUAUAAUAUCAAUUUGUAAUUAAAAAAAAGCUAAAUAUGUAUAUCUAAAUAUAAAGAAGUUAAACAAAAUGGCAGUAGCUUGGUUUUUUUUUUUUUCCCCAAAGAAUAAUGGGUAUUUUGGUGUUUUCACAAAAUGUAUGAGGCCAAUUUGAGUAAAAAAAUCUCAUUCCGAUUCAUCCUUGCCCAAACCCACCUCCCCCUCAUCCCCUCAGGAAUUCAAUUGCCCCUGUAUGAGACAAAUGAUUUUAUGUGGGCACCACGUUGCUUUUCAUUCCCAAUGGGAGGACCCAUUCCCACUUUAAGUCUGUAAACAUGUCCUUAAUUAAACUGGCGUCAUUAAAAUUUUAAACCACUUAUCAAACUCAUUCAACAGGUCUCGUCUGGUUAAUUAGCACUAUUUUUUCAACCCAAAAGAAAAAAAAAAAAAAAAAAAAAAGCCAUGACGGUUCCAAUUUGGCCAAUUUUUC
This 588-nucleotide long non-coding RNA is filed under the name Prunus persica (peach). RNAcentral describes it as "long non-coding RNA (PPER_LNC003120)". Lineage: Eukaryota; Viridiplantae; Streptophyta; Magnoliopsida; Rosales; Rosaceae. The record is from RNAcentral.